UUUCCGUAGGUGAACCUGCGGAAGGAUCAUUACCUAGAGUUUGUGGGCUUUGCCUGCUAUCUCUUACCCAUGUCUUUUGAGUACUUACGUUUCCUCGGUGGGUUCGCCCGCCGAUUGGACAAUUUAAACCCUUUGCAGUUGCAAUCAGCGUCUGAAAAACAUAAUAGUUACAACUUUCAACAACGGAUCUCUUGGUUCUGGCAUCGAUGAAGAACGCAGCGAAAUGCGAUAAGUAGUGUGAAUUGCAGAAUUCAGUGAAUCAUCGAAUCUUUGAACGCACAUUGCGCCCCUUGGUAUUCCAUGGGGCAUGCCCGUUCGAGCGUCAUUUGUACCUUCAAGCAUUGCUUGGUGUUGGGUGUUUGUCUCGCCUUUGCGUGUAGACUCGCCUUAAAACAAUUGGCAGCCGGCGUAUUGAUUUCGGAGCGCAGUACAUCUCGCGCUUUGCACUCAUAACGACGACGUCCAAAAGUACAUUUUAACACUCUUGACCUCGGAUCAGGUAGGGAUACCCGCUGAACUUAAGCAUAUCAAUAAGCGGAGGAA
This 543-nucleotide ribosomal RNA is filed under the name uncultured fungus. Its description in RNAcentral is "eukaryotic LSU rRNA". The stretch from base 172 to 325 matches the Rfam family "5.8S ribosomal RNA". The record is from RNAcentral. Lineage: Eukaryota; Fungi.